GAUAAACGCUGGCGGCGUGCCUAACACAUGCAAGUCGAACGUCCUCUGAGCAAUCAGAGGGAGUGGCGGACGGGUGAGUAGCACAUGGGAACCCACCCUCGCGUGAGGAAUACCACCGGGAAACCGGUGACAAGACCGCAUACGCUCGUGGACGCGAGCAAAGCUCUUCUUUUGGAAGGGCGCACGAGGACGGGCCUGUGCCUGAUUAGCUAGCUGGUGGGGUAAAAGCCUACCAGGGCGACGAUCAGUAGCUGGUCUGAGAGGAUGAUCAGCCACA
This 277-nucleotide ribosomal RNA is filed under the name uncultured bacterium. RNAcentral's name for it is "partial 16S ribosomal RNA". It matches the Rfam family "Bacterial small subunit ribosomal RNA", at positions 28 to 312 of the family's 1533-position model. The record is from RNAcentral.